This 417-nucleotide unclassified non-coding RNA is filed under the name uncultured Sebacina. RNAcentral describes it as "sequence contains ITS2". The stretch from base 1 to 154 matches the Rfam family "5.8S ribosomal RNA". The record is from RNAcentral. Lineage: Eukaryota; Fungi; Basidiomycota; Agaricomycetes; Sebacinales; Sebacinaceae.
AACCUUUAACAAUGGAUCACUUGGCUCUCGCAUCGAUGAAGAACGCAGCGAAAUGCGAUACGUAAUGUGAAUUGCAGAAUUCAGUGAAUCAUCGAAUCUUUGAACGCACCUUGCACCCUUUGGCAUUCCGAAGGGUAUGCUCGUUUGAGUGUCAUUGUACUCUCAUGCUCCCAAUGCUUUUGGAUCGGGAGUGGUGGACUUGGGUGUUGCUGCUUUACUGUGGCUCACCUCAAAUGGAGUAGUGCAACUCUUGGUUGGACAUAGUACGGCGUGAUAAGUGUCUUCGCCGGCGCCUCAUUAGAGGGUGGCCGAUCGGGAGCUCUGUGCUUCAAACCGUCUUCGGACAACAUCUGACAACUUGACCUCAAAUCGAGUAGGACUACCCGCUGAACUUAAGCAUAUCAAUAAGCGGAGGCU